This 266-nucleotide ribosomal RNA is filed under the name uncultured bacterium. RNAcentral's name for it is "partial 16S ribosomal RNA". It matches the Rfam family "Bacterial small subunit ribosomal RNA", at positions 227 to 507 of the family's 1533-position model. The record is from RNAcentral.
GGGCCCGCGUUGGAUUAGCUAGUUGGGUGGGGUAAAGGCCUACCAAGGCGACGAUCCAUAGCUGGUCUGAGAGGAUGAUCAGCCACACUGGGACUGAGACACGGCCCAGACUCCUACGGGAGGCAGCAGGUGGGGAAUAUUGGACAAUGGGACGAAAGCCUGAUCCAGCAAUGCCGCGUGAGUGAUGAAGGCCUUCGGGUUGUAAAGCUCUUUUACUCGGGACGAUAAUGACGGUACCGAGAGAAUAAGCCCCGGCUAACUCCGUG